CAGCCGCCGCGGUAAUACGUAGGGUGCAAGCGUUAAUCGGAAUUACUGGGCGUAAAGCGUGCGCAGGCGGUUCGGAAAGAAAGAUGUGAAAUUCCAGGGCUCAACCUUGGAACUGCAUUUUUAACUACCGGACUAGAGUGUGUCAGAGGGAGGUGGAAUUCCACGUGUAGCAGUGAAAUGCGUAGAUAUGUGGAGGAACACCGAUGGCGAAGGCAGCCUCCUGGGAUAACACUGACGCUCAUGCACGAAAGCGUGGGGAGCAAACAGGAUUAGAUACCCCUGUAGUCCCUGUCUCUUAUAC
Molecule: ribosomal RNA, 301 nt
Filed under: uncultured bacterium
Lineage: Bacteria
Description: partial 16S ribosomal RNA
Rfam family: Bacterial small subunit ribosomal RNA
Source: RNAcentral